This is a long non-coding RNA of Sinocyclocheilus grahami, 252 nucleotides long. RefSeq lists it as uncharacterized. The record is from RefSeq and is a predicted model, not a curated record. Lineage: Eukaryota; Metazoa; Chordata; Actinopteri; Cypriniformes; Cyprinidae. The transcript has 3 exons.
UGGUAUCCGGUCAGUCCUGGUUUUUGGCCACUAGGUGGAUGCAUAGACUGGUAGCUGGCUUGAGCUGACUGCAGGCCACUAGGCUGUGAGAUGGGCUGGUAUUGGAUCCGUCCUGGCUUUUGGCCACCAGGCUGGGGCACAAUCUGGUAGAGCGUUUGGGCUGACUGCAGGCCACUGGGCUGUUGCAUAGACUGGUAGCUGGCUUGUGCUGUCUGCUGGCCACUAGACUCGUCCACAAAUGGAGAGAUGGCU